GUCCCUGUAGCUUAACAGACAAAGCAUGGCACUGAAGACGCCAAGACGGUCACCACAGAACACCCAAGGACA
Molecule: transfer RNA, 72 nt
Filed under: Asio otus (long-eared owl)
Lineage: Eukaryota; Metazoa; Chordata; Aves; Strigiformes; Strigidae
Description: tRNA-Phe
Rfam family: tRNA
About the family: Transfer RNA (tRNA) molecules are approximately 80 nucleotides in length. Their secondary structure includes four short double-helical elements and three loops (D, anti-codon, and T loops).
Source: RNAcentral